RNAcentral lists this ribosomal RNA (613 nucleotides) under Diplodia corticola. RNAcentral describes it as "partial large subunit ribosomal RNA". It matches the Rfam family "Eukaryotic large subunit ribosomal RNA", at positions 76 to 704 of the family's 3401-position model. The record is from RNAcentral. Lineage: Eukaryota; Fungi; Ascomycota; Dothideomycetes; Botryosphaeriales; Botryosphaeriaceae.
UGCCUUAGUAACGGCGAGUGAAGCGGCAACAGCUCAAAUUUGAAAGCUGGCCCUUUCAGGGUCCGCGUUGUAAUUUGUAGAGGAUGAUUCGGCGAGGGCUCCCGCCUAAGUCCCCUGGAACGGGGCGUCAUAGAGGGUGAGAAUCCCGUAUGCGGUGGGCUGCCUUAGCCAUGUGAAUCUCCUUCGACGAGUCGAGUUGUUUGGGAAUGCAGCUCUAAAUGGGAGGUAAAUUUCUUCUAAAGCUAAAUACCGGCCAGAGACCGAUAGCGCACAAGUAGAGUGAUCGAAAGAUGAAAAGCACUUUGGAAAGAGAGUUAAAAAGUACGUGAAAUUGUUGAAAGGGAAGCGCUUGCAACCAGACUUGUCCGCAGUUGCUCAGCCGGUCUCCUGACCGGCGUACUCUUCUGCGGCCAGGCCAGCAUCAGUUCGGGCGGUCGGAUAAAGACCUCGGGAAUGUGGCUCCUCUCGGGGAGUGUUAUAGCCCGGGGUGGAAUGCGGCCAGCCUGGACUGAGGAUCUCGCUUCGGCAAGGAUGCUGGCGUAAUGGUUGUAAGCGGCCCGUCUUGAAACACGGACCAAGGAGUCUAACAUCUAUGCGAGUGUUUGGGUGGAAA